AGGUGAGCGUCUAGGACGUGAAGGUGAGCGUCUAGGACGUGAAGGAGGGAGGCUAUCCAUGGAGCUAGACCGUCUAGGCCCCCUUACAAGAUCAAUGGCCAAACAUGCUCAAACACAAGUAAAUGAAGCCACGGAUGGGAGAGAGAAGGCUUUGUAUAUGUUUGCAUAAAGGCCCAUUAGGGGUACUUAGUAGAUAGGAUAGUGUAGAAAGCACUUUUGAUGGAAACAUUCUAGAAACUAGGGUUGUGUGGCCGGUCAUUGCACAUGGCACAUGGCUUAGCAUUUAGAUUUAAUUUUGGUUUUCUUUUCCCUAGAAGUUAGCUUACCAUUUACGUCCAAGAUAGCUUAUAAAUAGGAAAGCUAUCUCAUUGUAUUUUUCAAGUUUAAUUGAGUAAGGUUAUGCUGCCAUUUUUGUGCACAAGCUUUACUUCUCCUAGAAAUCUAGGCUCUAAACUUCAAUCCUUUCACCUUCUCCCUUGAGCUGGCCG
Molecule: long non-coding RNA, 488 nt
Filed under: Phaseolus vulgaris (common bean)
Lineage: Eukaryota; Viridiplantae; Streptophyta; Magnoliopsida; Fabales; Fabaceae
Description: long non-coding RNA (PVUL_LNC001509)
Source: RNAcentral